CCUCCUUUGUUCCUCCUUGGGGCAUCUUGCACAAUGGGGGAAACCCUGAUGCAGCGACGCCGCGUGAGUGAAGAAGUAUUUCGGUAUGUAAAGCUCUAUCAGCAGGGAAGAAAAUGACGGUACCUGAUUAAGAAGCCCCGGCUAACUACGUGCCAGCAGCCGCGGUAAUACGUAGGGGGCAAGCGUUAUCCGGAUUUACUGGGUGUAAAGGGAGCGUAGACGGCAGCACAAGUCUGGAGUGAAAUGCCGGGGCUUAACCCCGGAACUGCUUUGGAAACUGUGCAGCUAGAGUGCAGGAGAGGUAAGUGGAAUUCCUAGUGUAGCGGUGAAAUGCGUAGAGAUUAGGAGGAACACCAGUGGCGAAGGCGGCUUACUGGACUGUAACUGACGUUGAGGCUCGAAAGCGUGGGGAGCAAACAGGAUUAGAUACCCCAGUAGUC
This 440-nucleotide ribosomal RNA is filed under the name uncultured bacterium. RNAcentral's name for it is "partial 16S ribosomal RNA". It matches the Rfam family "Bacterial small subunit ribosomal RNA", at positions 335 to 795 of the family's 1533-position model. The record is from RNAcentral.